Molecule: long non-coding RNA, 307 nt
Organism: Episyrphus balteatus (marmalade hoverfly)
Lineage: Eukaryota; Metazoa; Arthropoda; Insecta; Diptera; Syrphidae
Exons: 2
Source: RefSeq, a predicted model, not a curated record
UUCAUAUUUCUCGCGCGAUUUCAUUUCAAAUUUUCACAUUUUUUAUUAACAUGGUUUGAUGAUUCGACUGACUACUUUUUUUUGUUGGUUUUAUUUCCUUUAACUGUUAACUACUGUGUGUUCUUUCGUGACGUUCUAUACCAUAAUUACUAAGUCAAUACCGGAAAUAAUAACAUACAUAAAAGCGCACACCAUUUAAAACAAAAACCAUUUCGUUUUAAUUUUAUUAUCGUGAACCUACAACUAACCAAUAUAACGAAUAUUUUAUACCAAUAGAUUAUUCCAUAAAAAAAAAAAAAACAGAAAA